RNAcentral lists this unclassified non-coding RNA (400 nucleotides) under soil metagenome. Its description in RNAcentral is "partial contains 5.8S ribosomal RNA, internal transcribed spacer 2, and large subunit ribosomal RNA". The stretch from base 1 to 122 matches the Rfam family "5.8S ribosomal RNA", at positions 35 to 154 of the family's 154-position model. The record is from RNAcentral.
GAUGAAGAACGUAGCGAAAUGCGAUACUUGGUGUGAGUUGCAGAAUCCCGUGAACCAUCGAGUCUUUGAACGCAAGUUGCGCCUCAAGCCAUUAGGUUGAGGGCACGUCUGCCUGGGCGUCACAUAUCGUUGCCUGAUGCCAGUUUCCUCGUGAUGGGUGACUGUGCAGGGCGAAUGAUGGCUUCCCGUGAGCAUUGUUGCCUCAUGGUUGGUUGAAAAUUGAGUCCUUGGUAGGGAGCGCCGUGAUAGAUGGUGGUUGAGUGACGAACGAGACCCAAUCAUGUGAGACCCCUACCGAAUUUGGCCUUCAUGACCCACAUGCGUCUUUGGAACGCUCAUGACGAGACCUCAGGUCAGGCGGGGCUACCCGCUGAGUUUAAGCAUAUCAAUAAGCGGAGGA